This 76-nucleotide transfer RNA is filed under the name Thermodesulfobacterium geofontis. RNAcentral's name for it is "tRNA-Arg". It matches the Rfam family "tRNA". Rfam says of the family: Transfer RNA (tRNA) molecules are approximately 80 nucleotides in length. Their secondary structure includes four short double-helical elements and three loops (D, anti-codon, and T loops). Lineage: Bacteria; Pseudomonadati; Thermodesulfobacteriota; Thermodesulfobacteria; Thermodesulfobacteriales; Thermodesulfobacteriaceae. The record is from RNAcentral.
GAGCCUGUAGCUCAGGGGACAGAGCGUGGGGCUCCGGACCCCAAGGUCGGGGGUUCAAAUCCCCCCAGGCUCACUA